CGACCAAGCUAACCUCAACCAAAAUCAGCAAUUUAGGGCUUCGUGGAUUCCUCUGGGAGUCUAGAAUCCAGCAAACCAAGUUUCGUCGAAAUCCGACCUUCCUACGUUGCGCACGAGCCAAAACACUGGAGGUCGUCGCUGAAGAACUGCAGAAUCAGCACUCCAUCAAGCUGGAUCAAUGGAAGUUUGAUGCAAUUUGAGGCAAAUCCGAGGGUUGAAAUGCUAAAAGAGACCUCUCUGUGAAGAAGGGAGAAAAAGAGCAGCUAAGGGGCGCAUUCCAUCUAUUUAUAGUGAGUUAGAAUGAUCCAAAAAGCCUCAGGAACUCAAGCUGCUAUCCAGUGUCCCUGCAGAAACGGGCGUUUCUGGGCGCCAGGAGCCAUGUUCUGGGCGACCAAAACAUCCAGCCUGCACAAAACGGGCUCCUCGGACUCUCUGCUCGCGGUGUGCUGCGCCCGUAAAUGGCUCCGGCGAAACUCACCUACCGCCUGCCACGCGUCGAAGCAAGCGAUAUUCACGAUGUCGAAUUUUCGGACCCACAUCUGGGCGCCCGGAACAUGGGAUCCGAAUUAGGCUUCCAGUUUCAGUUAAAUUCAACACUCGUUUCUGGGCGACCCUAACAAAUGUUCUGGGCGCCCGAAUCUGGCAAAACUCCAGUUUUGCUUAUUUGAGUGCACCAAGUCCAAUUCUGCAUCUAAUUCGUGCAGAAUUGACUCCGACUCAGUCCGACACUCUCCAGAGAUGUCGACCAGUCUACUAAUACUGAAGCCAACCCUAUCCAAAGCUCAGGAACACUACAUCCUCCCCCACUACAAAAAGUUUCGUCCGCGAAACUUUACACAUACCUCAAUCCAGAGCCUCAAACAGGUAGGGGUAGGACUCCUUCAUCACCGUCCUCCGGCUCCCAAGUCGCCUCCCGCUCCUCGUGAUUACUCCACUGCACCUUUACAAAGGGUAUGACCCGGUUGCGCAAUUCCCUCGACUGACGAGCCAGAAUCCGCACCGGUCGUUCCUCGUAGCUCAGGUCCUCUCCAAUCUCAAGCGGAGUGAAGUCAAUCACGUGGGAGGGGUCGAACACAUAUUUCCUCAAAGCCGAGACGUGGAAAACAUCGUGAAUGCCAGCUAGCCGUGGUGGUAGAGCAAUCCUGUAAGCAACUGGCCCGACUCACUCCAAUACCUCGAAAGGGCCUACAAAACGUGGACUGAGCUUUCCACAUACACCAAAUCGGCGAAUCCCUCUGGACGGCGAGACUUUAAGAAAAACAUGAUCUCCUACCUGAAACACCAAUUCUCGUCUCCGGGUAUCAGCAUAGCUCCUAUGUCAACUCUGGGCUGCUAAUAUGUGCCGUCGCACCUCUUUUACCUUUUCCUCAGCCUCAAUCAGAAUCUCAGGCCCAAGCGUCCUCCUUUCACCCACAUCACUCCAAAAUAAAGGGGACAGACAUCUGCGUCCAUACAACGCCUCAAACGGAGCCAUCUGGAUGCUCGCUUGAUAGCUGUUGUUGUACGCAAACUCAACCAGUCUCAAAUGGCAAUACCACCCUCCUCCAAAGUUCAGGACACAUGCCCUCAGCAUGUCCUCUAGAGUCUGAAUGGUUCGCUCUGACUGACCAUCUGUCUAUGGGUGAAACGCUGUGCUGAACUGCAACUGAGUGCCCAAGGCCGUCUGAAGACUCCCAAAAGUGCGAUACGAACCUCGGGUCCCGGUCGGAUACUAUCGAAGUGGGCACGCCAUGCAACCUCACUAUCUCAUCCAAAUACAACUGAGCGAGUCUCUCUCUCGACCAAGUGGUCUGCACUGGUAAGAAGUGAGCAGACUUGGUCAGUCUGUCCACUAUCACCCAAAUCGCAUCAAAACCACCCUGUGCUCUCGGCAAUCCGACGACAAAGUCCAUCGUGAUCUGCUCCCAUUUCCACUCGGGCACUGGUAGACUCUGCAAGCUUGCCAGCAGGUACCUGAUGCUCGGCCUUUACCUGUUGACAAGUCAGACACUGAGCCACAAAUCUACCAAUGUCCCUCUUCAUUCCAUUCCACCAAAACCGUACCUUUAAAUCCUUAUACAUCUUGGUUCCACCUGGAUGAACCGUAUAAGGAGAACAAUGAGCCUCUCUCAGAAUGUCAACUCGGAUCUCAGCAUCCAUAGGCACACACAGUCGGUCCCUGUACCGUAGUACUCCCGAACUGUCCAAAGCAAAACCCUCAGCCUGCCCCCUGUCUAGCUGCUCUCUAAUCCUCAACAAAUACGGAUCUCCACUCUGUUUCUCUCGGAUCCUAUCCAACAGAGUGGGCUAUAAAACUAAAGACGUCAGCCUCGCCGUAGACCCAGGGGGUACUAUCUCGAGUCCCAGCCGCUGCAGCUCCUCGAGUAGGGGUCUCUGCUCAGUGAUCCUCAAACUCAGGCUCUGCACUGUCUUCCUGCUCAACGCAUCUGCAACAACAUUCGCCCUGCUGGGAUGAUACUGAAUACUAAUGUCAUAGUCCUUCAGUAACUCCAACCACCGGCGUUGCCUCAGGUUCAGCUCUCUUUGUGUGAACAGAUACUUGAGACUUUUAUGAUCGGUGAAGACCUCGCAGUGCUCGCCGUACAAGUAAUGCCGCCAGAGCUUCAAAGCAAAACCACCGCGACAAGCUCCAAGUCAUGCGUAGGGUAAUUCUUCUCAUAAUCCUUUAAUUGCCGUGAAGCAUAAGCAAUUACCCUACCAUGCUGCAUCAACACGCAACCAAGUCCACUGUGCGAUGCAUCACUGUAGAUCACGAAUCCUUCGCCCAUAACAGGAAGGGCAAGGAUAGGAGCCGACGUCAAUCUCAGUCUCAACUCAUCAAAGCUCCUCUGACAGUCAUCGCUCCAGACAAAACGAAUCCCCUUCCGCGUCAAGCGUGUGAGGGGUGUGGAAAGCUUCGCAAAGCCUUCCACAAACCGACGGUAAUAUCCUGCCAGUCCCAGGAAGCUCCAUACCUCAGUAACCGUCGUCGGUCUAGGCCAAUCUCGAAUCGCCUCAAUCUUCUUUGGGUCCACUGCUACGCCCUCAGCUGAAAUCACGUGGCCCAAGAAAGCAACCUCCCGUAGACAGAACUCGCACUUCUUUAACUUGGCAUACAACUUCUUCUCUCGCAGAAGCUGUAGCACAAUCCUCAAGUGCUCCUCAUGCUCAGCAUCACUCCGGGAGUAAAUCAGGAUAUCGUCGAUGAAGACUACCACAAACCUAUCCAAGAACGGCUCGAACACUCUGUUCAUCAAAUCCAUGAAUGCAGCAGGGGCAUUCGUCAAUCCAAAAGGCAUCACCGUGAACUUAUAAUGCCCGUACCGAGUCCGAAAAGCCGUCUUGGGAACAUCCUCGGCCUCACCCUCAGCUGGUGGUAACCUGACUGGAGAUCAAUCUUCGAGAAGACAUAAGAUUCCUGCAGCAGAUCAAACAAAUCAUCAAUGUGCGGCAAGGGAUACUUAUUCUUGAUGGUCACUUUAUUCAGCUCCCGGUAAUCUACACAUAACCUGAGCGAACCAUCCUUCUUCUUUACAAAUAAUACCGGCGCUCUCCACGGCAAAACACUGGGUCUCACAAACCCUCUAUCCAUCAAGUCCUGAAGCUGUGCCUUUAGCUCUCUCAGCUCUGCCGGCGCCAACCAAUAAGGUACCUUUGAGAUUGGUGCAGUUCUAGGAACUACAUCAAUCACAAACUCAAUCUCCCUCUCCGGCGGCAACGUCGUCAACUCAGUGGGAAACACAUCCGGAAACUCGCGGACUACUGGGAUGUCCUCGAGUCCCGGCGCCGCCGUAGGUACCUCCACAACUGUCGCUAGGAAAGCGAUACACCCACUGCUCAGCAUCUGUCUAGCCCUCGCCGAAGAUAUCCAGGUGACAAACAGCGCGCUCCUGCAGCCUUUGAAAGUAAACUCCUCCUGGCUUGGCUCGCGGAACGUCACCGUCCUCGCUCCACAGUCGAUCGUAGCAUAGUACCGCGCCAGCCAAUCCAUACCGAGCACUACGUCGAAGUCCUGCAGCUGCCCUAACACCAACAGGUCUGCGGGCAUGAUCCAAGAGUCUAACUGCACCGGACAGGACCAACAACACUCUGUAACCUGCAUGACAUAGUCAGGGAUCUGCACCUCUCGUGCCUGAGACAACGUUCCUAACUCUAGACCAUGUAACUGUGCAAAUACUCGGCUAACAAAGAAAUGCGAUGCACCGGUAUCAAAAAGAGUGCGAACUCUAAUGCCAGAAAUCAAAGUGAUACCUGCCACCACUCGGUCGGCUGCUGAAGAGUCCUCCACCUGAGCUGCGUAGACCCUGCCACUCGGAGCCUGCUGUCGCCGCUCACUUGACCGCGGCACAGACGAUCUGUCCUCCUGGCGGUAGCUCGGUGCUGCUCUGUAAGACUGCUGUGGUGCUGGUGGUGCCGAAGCUGAUGACGGUGCUGGAGAUGCUGUUCGGGGACAAGCUGCACUCAUGUGUCCCGGCUGACCACAUCCGUAGCACCUGCCCUCUUUCUGCUCGCACUGCCGAGGCCAGUGUGGUCCCCCGCAGAUCACACACUGUGGCGUCCUCUGAGUCUGCCCCUGCUGACGGGAUCCCCUGGAACGCUGACGCCCCGAAGACCCACGACCCUGAGAACGUGAUCGUGGAGGCCUCGGCGGACGUCUGCUGCUCGACUACCCUCCGUCAUCUGGAAAGGGGCGCUUCCUGUCCUGACCCUGCCCCACGUCCUGAGUCCUCUCCUGCAGCGACACCUCACCUCUCUCCACCCAUAGGGCCUGCUCUAUGGACGCAUCCAGGGUCCUCGACCUCUGCGCCCGCACUAACCUGAAGAUAUCCGGUCUCAGCCCCUGCUCGAACAUGUAUACCCUGUGCGCCUCGUCUCUGGCCGCAAAUGGUACACAGUUCAGGAGUCGAGUAAACUCCCGAACAUACUCCUGCACUGGGCGAUCUCCCUGCUGAAGCCUCCUCAAAUCCUCCUCGAGCUUCUGCUUCACACUGUUGGGAAAGAACAUCCCAAACAGCAUUCCACAGAACUCAUCCCAACUCAGCUGCGCCGCCACUAGCCCCUGGUCUCGCCUCGUCUCUCCGCCACCAGUCAUGAGCAUCACCUGCUAGACAGUGUACUCCCAGGGGUACCUGCUCCCCCUCCGGAAUGAACAGAUCCUCAAAUAGCUUCUCUAUCGCACUGACCCAUCCCUCAACAACCCAGGCCUCAGUGCAUCUGCCAUCAAAAAUUGGUGUGUCAAAUCGGCGAAAACGAGCCAACCUCUCCGUCCACCGCUCCUGCUCGGCCUCAGUAAACUGUACUGGCCCCCGAGCAGGCGCAACUGGCGCUACUGGAACUGCUGCUGGCGGAGGGACUGCUGCAGCUGGUGCUGUCACUGGAGUAGUCGGGGGUGGAACUAGCAACUCUGGUACUCUCGGUGCUGAACUCGGUGACUGAGCUACCCUCUCACACAACCUCUGCAACAACUCCCCCUGCUGCUUCGUCAACUCGGUCGGGGCAGCUAACUAUGCACUCAGAUUAGGGGGUGCGCUAGCCUCAGGUCGCGCACUCGGCUCCACAACAGGGGGUGCACUCGCCUCCAGUCUGUCACCCUGCUCCUGCCGAGUACUCUGCUCCAUCUGCUCAGGUCUCUCAGAAGGUCCAGCAUGAUCCCGCGCCAACUGGGCACGCUCCCGUAACGACGGCCGACCUCGGCGACGAUACAUAGCUGAAAGGAACAGAUCGGGGUCAGUUGAAACACAAACACUCUUGACCCAAUCAACGAAAGUCUGGAAGGCGGUCCCUGUUUCUCCUCAAAAUUAUGUCGUCUGCAGCCAACAUAAUUUCUCAGGCCAAAACAGAAACUCCUUCAGUCACUCACUCUACUCUAAGAGGAGUUAGAACAAUAAUCAUUGACUUUCGCAAUUAAAUUACGCCUCUCGCGUCUUGCUUUCCUAAGGUUUGCCAAACUUAGGUUUCCUAGGUCCCAACGACCUACAGCAAAGCUCUGAUACCAACUUAAUCUGUCACGCCCCGGAUUACACUUUCCCCGGGCGCGCCGACAAAUCCGCCGUAUACAAAGGAAUUUCCCCUGUAUACGAAGCGAUAGCUGUACCUGUAAAUCAAACACUACUACGAACAGUAAUAGAGAGCUGCUAGAGAAAACAGAAGCUAAACAAACUGAGUUUCAUAUACAUAGUCCAAAUCCAAAAUACAAAGCUACUCGCACUGGCGAGUUAAGUCCACUAUGUACAUAAACUCGAAACAAAACAUAUACCUGCAAUAGGGGCACCUCUAGCUCAGCACGUCGGGUAGGGCUCUAACUCGUGAUGCCCUUGCCUCGAUCCUGAUCCGCGGAAGGCGCAGCAGCCGAAACCUGUGGCUCUGCAAAACAGGGGUAACAACUGGGCGUGAGAACUACUGUAAAAACAAGUAGUCCUCAGUGGGUACCGUCCAAAACAAUAUCGGUCCAUCCACUAAGUCUACAGAAGGGAGCAAGAAUAGCCAAAAAGCAGGAAAUAAACUCAACCGCUACAAAUCACUAUACUAUCAUGCUCUACACUAACCAACUGUAGGAAAUGUCAAAUCUGACCCAAUCCAAUCGGAACUGUAGACAUACCCGUCCCUGGGACUGUGAACACACCCGUCCCUACUCAGUUGCAACUAUCAGGCUCUAUCCAUACAACUGGUCCGUGGAGAGCAAGUCCAACCGGCAUGAGCGACACCAACGCGAAAGCACAAAGCCUGACUUCGGAGUGGCACUCGUGGGCGCUACCCAUCCGAGUAUGUAGCGUAUCUCUGUCGAGCUCAAUCAGGCUCCAACUAGCCAAAGUCGAGUGAACAGGGUCAAAACAGGUCUACAAACCAAACCCACGUGCCCUCGGCACAAUCUAUGACCAAAACAAGAAUCUGGGUCCACCGCUAACCCGAACGGCACCCAACGACCCGAAACAGCCUAAACUCUACUGAAGAAAAUAAGCUCGGCACCCCAGCACGAGCAUAAAUGCCUUCUAAACUACCCCAAGUAUCCAUCGCACUGAUACUGCAAUGAUACAAUCGAAUCACGGCUCCUAGAGUUAAAUCUGGUAGUUUAAGCAUAUGACGGGUCAAAACGCAGGUUUUCUCCUAAGUCAAAUUUCAAGUCUAACAUGUAUAAUAUAAAUAUUCAUUUCAGCAUGCUUUUACAUUCAUAUUACAUUCAAGAUGCUAAUCGAUGAAUUAAAGCAUGAUAUACAAAAAUCGAAUUAUACACGUCGACUAAACAUGCACUUAGAAGCGAAACCGAUGAUAACCCACCUCUAGUGAAAUUCCUGGCAGCAAGAGGGUUUCGGAUCUCUAGCAACACUGCUGGAAACACCUCCAAACCAGCAACAAAGCCCCUCAAGAUCUGGAUAUAACAAAUCACCCAAAAUCUAAUAAAAUUCAUCAAUUUCAGCCUUAAGCUUAGGAUUUAUCCAAUUCCAAUGUCAAAACUCACCUAAUGGUCUCCAAUUCAGAUGAGUACAGUUCCAAAACCAGCAAAUACUGAGGGGUGAUCAAACUCAGGUCCAAAAUCCCAUUGCCAACAAACAUAGCAUCAAGAAAAGUUCAAAAAUCCUAAUUUCAGCUCAAAGUCAACAGUAGUCCAGAAAAAUCUCAGUUCGACCAAGCUAACCUCAACCAAAAUCAGCAAUUUAGGGCUUCGUGGAUUCCUCUGGGAGUCUAGAAUCCAGCAAACCAAGUUUCGUCGAAAUCCGACCUUCCUACGUUGCGCACGAGCCAAAACACUGGAGGUCGUCGCUGAAGAACUGCAGAAUCAGCACUCCAUCAAGCUGGAUCAAUGGAAGUUUGAUGCAAUUUGAGGCAAAUCCGAGGGUUGAAAUGCUAAAAGAGACCUCUCUGUGAAGAAGGGAGAAAAAGAGCAGCUAAGGGGCGCAUUCCAUCUAUUUAUAGUGAGUUAGAAUGAUCCAAAAAGCCUCAGGAACUCAAGCUGCUAUCCAGUG
RNAcentral lists this long non-coding RNA (7940 nucleotides) under Ananas comosus (pineapple). Its description in RNAcentral is "long non-coding RNA (ACOM_LNC035357)". Lineage: Eukaryota; Viridiplantae; Streptophyta; Magnoliopsida; Poales; Bromeliaceae. The record is from RNAcentral.